UGGGGAAUCUUGCACAAUGGGGGCAACCCUGAUGCAGCGACGCCGCGUGAGCGAUGAAGCCCUUCGGGGCGUAAAGCUCUUUCGACCGGAACGAUAAUGACGGUACCGGGAGAAGAAGCUGCGGCUAACUACGUGCCAGCAGCCGCGGUAAUACGUAGGCAGCAAGCGUUGUUCGGAGUUACUGGGCGUAAAGAGUGCGUAGGCGGUUUUCUAAGGUCGGUGUGAAAUCUCCCGGCUUAACUGGGAGGGUGCGCCGAAGACUGGGAAGCUGGAGUGUGGGAAAGGCAGGCGGAAUUCCUGGUGUAGCGGUGAAAUGCGUAGAUAUCAGGAGGAACACCGGCGGUGUAGACGGCUUGCUAGACCAUAACUGACGCUGAGGCACGAAAGCGUGGGUAGCAAACA
This 402-nucleotide ribosomal RNA is filed under the name uncultured bacterium. RNAcentral describes it as "bacterial SSU rRNA". It matches the Rfam family "Bacterial small subunit ribosomal RNA", at positions 355 to 774 of the family's 1533-position model. The record is from RNAcentral.